Molecule: long non-coding RNA, 728 nt
Organism: Homo sapiens (human)
Lineage: Eukaryota; Metazoa; Chordata; Mammalia; Primates; Hominidae
Product: long intergenic non-protein coding RNA 841
Source: Ensembl
CCAGCCCUCAUUGCUUCCCCAGUACUGGUUCCUGCAAGCUGCUUGGUUGAUGCUCCAGUUCCUCCUUUUUCUUCCUCUCUGCCUGGGGAACCUCUCGCAUCUUUCAAGAAGACACUAAAGUAAAAGAACCAUCAACACAAGUGACAUGUCAUAGCAGGAGCUGACACAGCCUCACCAGCCCAUGCUCGGCCAGACUAGGGAGCAUCGGCCGCUUGUUCCAUCCUGUGCUUGUCUGCCUGCCUCUCUGUCAUGAGACGCAUUCGAAGAGUCCUGGGCCCAAAAGCAACUCACAGUCCAGGAAGACGUCCAGGCCUUGGGUGACGCUCAGUCUCAGUAAAUGGCCCUGGCUGGCAGGUGGUGGUGGGAGGGACCCAGGUUGGUCCCUGUGGCUGCCUUUGUGCUCCCUAAAUCCCCUUGUCUAGGGUCAGCCUAGGGUCUGGCAUGGGGCAGAGACAGGAGUGCCCUCAUCUGCCAGGGAAAUGCUCACUGGGGGAGGGAGCAGCCGGCCCCCCAGGCCACACUCCAUGCCCCACCCUCUAAGCUGCAGAGUGCAUGUACAUCAAUGGAACACAGAGGGAGGGUCCCAGGCUCCUGUCCACACUAAAAUGCCCCUGGACCCCAACCCUUAACAGACGAGAUCCUGUCUCAUUAGAAAGCACAUGUGACUUCUCUAGCAGCUCAUUCCCACUUCCUUUGUCUUCAGUAAAGACGGAGAAUGGUGGCCUCCU